Molecule: ribosomal RNA, 405 nt
Filed under: Xylariaceae sp. AH34624
Lineage: Eukaryota; Fungi; Ascomycota; Sordariomycetes; Xylariales; Xylariaceae
Description: eukaryotic LSU rRNA
Rfam family: Eukaryotic large subunit ribosomal RNA
Source: RNAcentral
GCGGUGCCUUCCGAGUUCCCUGGAACGGGACGCCUUAGAGGGUGAGAGCCCCGUACGGUUGGACACCAAGCCUCUGUAAAGCUCCUUCGACGAGUCGAGUAGUUUGGGAAUGCUGCUCUAAAUGGGAGGUAAAUUUCUUCUAAAGCUAAAUAUUGGCCAGAGACCGAUAGCGCACAAGUAGAGUGAUCGAAAGAUGAAAAGCACUUUGAAAAGAGGGUUAAACAGCACGCUGUGAAAUUGUUGAAAGGGAAGCGUUUGCGACCAGACCUCUCCCCGGCGGAUCAUCCGGCGUUCUCGCCGGUGCACUCCGCCGGGCUGAGGCCAGCAUCGGUUUCCGCGGGGGGAGCUAAAAGCGGGGGGAACGUAGCUACCCUCGGGAGUGUUAUAGCCCCCCGCAUGAAUACC